GUAGGUGGCAAGCGUUGUCCGGAAUUAUUGGGCGUAAAGCGCGCGCAGGCGGUCCUUUAAGUCUGAUGUGAAAGCCCACGGCUCAACCGUGGAGGGUCAUUGGAAACUGGGGGACUUGAGUGCAGAAGAGGAAAGCGGAAUUCCACGUGUAGCGGUGAAAUGCGUAGAGAUCUGGAGGAACACCGAUGGCGAAGGCAGCCCCUGGGCUAACACUGACGCUCAUGCACGAAAGCGUGGGGAGCAAACAGGAUUAGAUACCCUGGUAGUCCACGCCCUAAACGAUGUCAACUGGUUGUCGGGGAAGUUAUUCCUUGGUAACGAAGCUAACGCGUGAAGUUGACCGCCUGGGGAGUACGGCCGCAAGGUUA
RNAcentral lists this ribosomal RNA (368 nucleotides) under uncultured bacterium. Its description in RNAcentral is "bacterial SSU rRNA". It matches the Rfam family "Bacterial small subunit ribosomal RNA", at positions 527 to 896 of the family's 1533-position model. The record is from RNAcentral.